CAUGCCGUAAACGAUGAGUGCUAAGUGUUAGGGGGGUUUCCGCCCCUUAGUGCUGCAGCUAACGCAUUAAGCACUCCGCCUGGGGAGUACGACCGCAAGGUUGAAACUCAAAGGAAUUGACGGGGGCCCGCACAAGCGGUGGAGCAUGUGGUUUAAUUCGAAGCAACGCGAAGAACCUUACCAGGUCUUGACAUCCCGAUGAUCGCUCUAGAGAUAGAGUUUUCCCUUCGGGGACAUUGGUGACAGGUGG
RNAcentral lists this ribosomal RNA (250 nucleotides) under uncultured bacterium. RNAcentral describes it as "partial 16S ribosomal RNA". It matches the Rfam family "Bacterial small subunit ribosomal RNA", at positions 796 to 1041 of the family's 1533-position model. The record is from RNAcentral.